UGGGGAAUAUUGGACAAUGGGCGCAAGCCUGAUCCAGCCAUGCCGCGUGAGUGAUGAAGGCCCUAGUGUUGUAAAGCUCUUUCACCGGUGAAGAUACUGACGGUAACCGUAGAAGAAGCCCCCGCUAACUUCGUGCCAGCAGCCGCGGUAAUACGAAGGGGGCUAGCGUUGUUCGGAUUUACUGGGCGUAAAGCGCACGUAGGCGGACUAUUAAGUCAGGGGUGAAAUCCCGGGGCUCAACCCCGGAACUGCCUUUGAUACUGGUAGUCUUGAGUUCGAGAGAGGUGAGUGGAAUUCCGAGUGUAGAGGUGAAAUUCGUAGAUAUUAGGAGGAACACCAGUGGCGAAGGCGGCUCACUGGCUCGAUACUGACGCUGAGGUGCGAAAGCGUGGGGAGCAAACAGG
RNAcentral lists this ribosomal RNA (404 nucleotides) under Actinomycetes bacterium. RNAcentral's name for it is "Actinobacteria bacterium partial 16S ribosomal RNA". It matches the Rfam family "Bacterial small subunit ribosomal RNA", at positions 355 to 776 of the family's 1533-position model. The record is from RNAcentral. Lineage: Bacteria; Bacillati; Actinomycetota; Actinomycetes.